This 327-nucleotide ribosomal RNA is filed under the name uncultured eukaryote. RNAcentral's name for it is "partial 18S ribosomal RNA". It matches the Rfam family "Eukaryotic small subunit ribosomal RNA", at positions 1470 to 1796 of the family's 1831-position model. The record is from RNAcentral.
CCCUUAGAUGUCCUGGGCCGCACGCGCGUUACACUGAUGCAUUCAACGAGCUUAUAACCUUGGCCGAGAGGCCUGGGCAAUCUUGUUAACGUGCAUCGUGAUAGGGAUAGAUUAUUGAAAUUAUUAAUCUUGAACGAGGAAUUCCUAGUAAACGCGAGUCAUCAGCUCGCAUUGAUUACGUCCCUGCCCUUUGUACACACCGCCCGUCGCACCUACCGAUUGAAUGGUUCGGUGAAGAUCUCGGACUUCGAUAUUUGUUCUUCAUUGAACUUAUAUUGUGGGAAGUUAUCUAAACCUCAUCAUUUAGAGGAAGGUGAAGUCGUAACA